GUGUGGGNCUUAGCUCAGCUGGGAGAGCGCCUGCUUUGCACGCAGGAGGUCAUCGGUUCGAUCCCGAUAGGCUCCACCAUUUUGAUGAAAAAUUUUUUACGUCUGCGUCUUCUAGCAGAUUCGGGG
RNAcentral lists this transfer RNA (126 nucleotides) under Parageobacillus caldoxylosilyticus. Its description in RNAcentral is "partial 16S-23S ribosomal RNA intergenic spacer". The stretch from base 4 to 76 matches the Rfam family "tRNA". From Rfam's summary of the family: Transfer RNA (tRNA) molecules are approximately 80 nucleotides in length. Their secondary structure includes four short double-helical elements and three loops (D, anti-codon, and T loops). Lineage: Bacteria; Bacillati; Bacillota; Bacilli; Caryophanales; Anoxybacillaceae. The record is from RNAcentral.